This 225-nucleotide unclassified non-coding RNA is filed under the name plant metagenome. Its description in RNAcentral is "partial contains small subunit ribosomal RNA, internal transcribed spacer 1, and 5.8S ribosomal RNA". The record is from RNAcentral.
UCUCCGUUGGUGAACCAGGGGAGGGAUCAUUACAGGACUCGCAAGACUCCUACAACCCUGUGAACUUAACUAUAAGCACGUUGCUUCGGCGGGUGUCUCGGAGGGGGUUCUCCCUCCCCGAGACGCUAAACCCGCCGGCAGCCUACUAUACUCUGUCUCUUUGCGUUGGCAUCUCGAGUACAAUCAAACAAGUUAAAACUUUCAACAACGGAUCUCUUGGUUCUG